CACGUGACAUGUCCCCGGUAACAUCGCCAUGUGCAGUAGCAAAGUUGAUUAAAGGUGAUGAUGGUGAGCUAGAAUGAUGAACGGUGAAGGUGGGUCCUUGGGUCACUCCCAACCUGGA
Molecule: long non-coding RNA, 118 nt
Organism: Haliotis rubra (blacklip abalone)
Lineage: Eukaryota; Metazoa; Mollusca; Gastropoda; Lepetellida; Haliotidae
Exons: 3
Source: RefSeq, a predicted model, not a curated record